UCCACUUCCUUUUUUUCGGGGACCUUCUGGGCAGGGCGGACUCCACGUCCGAUCAACGAGUACCCGUUUUUGACCACAGGAGGGCACACUUUUCCGUCCCGUAGAAUGACCAUCGACGACGACCACGACGUUCCCAGUACGGCCGAGUUCCUGUCCAUCCGCCGAGGCCGUCCCCAACUUCCUGUCCGUUCCCUGCUUUUUCCCGUGCUCUUUUCUGAACUACGUUGACGGAGCGCACGUCUACCGGCGAGGCCUCAGGAAGGAAAAAAGGAAGCCUGCUACUGCCUCAGUGGAAAGGGCACAAAGAGACCCAGCCUCCUAGUCUCUCGUACCGGCAUCCAGCCGCCUGCUUAGGGACAGGAAGUCGGCCAUGCCGAGAAGGUCGUUCUGAAUGGAAGUGGAAGGACGGCCACAGAAACGGACAGGAAGUUGGCCAUCCCGGGGAGGUCGGUGUGUAAGACAGUGGAGGACUACUGCGCAUGUGUGACUGGAAGUUGGCAGGUAAGGUUGAUUUCCUUGUGUGGCUGCUAUUCCUGCCUAAGGCUGCGUUCUGAUGACUUUGCCCCUAAAAUAACAACAUAGUCUUUCAUAUCUUGGGAAAGCCUGACUUUUUUGCCCUCUUUUGGGCAAGGAAAGAGUAGGGCCUCAGGUUUUUAAGAAGAGACUUGACAACCAUGUG
This is a long non-coding RNA of Crotalus tigris (Tiger rattlesnake), 679 nucleotides long. RefSeq lists it as uncharacterized. The record is from RefSeq and is a predicted model, not a curated record. NCBI's taxonomy places the organism in Eukaryota, Metazoa, Chordata, Lepidosauria, Squamata, Viperidae. The transcript has 3 exons.